This is a long non-coding RNA of Vespa mandarinia (Asian giant hornet), 1689 nucleotides long. The record is from RefSeq and is a predicted model, not a curated record. NCBI's taxonomy places the organism in Eukaryota, Metazoa, Arthropoda, Insecta, Hymenoptera, Vespidae.
UUUUUUUAUUUCUAAAUAUAUUUUCUUGCAGAUCAUGCAAACAUCGACAACAUGACAUCACUUGGUCAAAGAUCCUGAUCGAUCAACGAAACGAUCUAAAAACAAACGUUAACAAUAAAACAUAUAUUACUAAAAAAAAAAAAAAUAUAUAUAUAUAUACAUAUACGAGAUAACAGUGAGUAUUAUCAAAACAUCUUUUCGAGAAAAAAAAAAAAAAUGAAAAAAAGAAAAAUGAAUAAAAUAAUAAUAAUAAUAAUAAUAAUAAUAAUAAUAAUAAUAAUAAUAAUAAUAAUAAUAAUAAUAAUAAUAAUAAUUAUAAUUAUAAUCGGACAUUUAUGUCAAACAACGUGAUACUGAUAACAAAGUAAUAAGACCAAGUAGCAUCGACGAUGCACAAAACGAUCGCCAAAGUAUCUCGAUUAUAAUUUGGACAUAAUUCUUGUUGAUGACAUCUCCUACGGAAGAAAGAAAACAAAAUGACGAAAUAAAGAAAACAAAAUGACGAAAUAAAGAAAAAAGAAAAUGAAUUAAUAAAGAAGGAAAAAAAAAAACAAACAAAAACAAAAAAGAGAGAAAAACGAUAUUCGAUGAAAAUUCAUAUUUGAAUUUUCCCGGGUUUAUGAACUUACCAUCGUUCGAUAAGUACUACGACCAAUCCCGUAACGAUUUUAUCAAGAAACGUUACGAUCGAAUAAACGAAUGCACUUUUUUCAGUUCGAGGACCAAUAAUUUCAGCUGUAACACUUAAAGCCGUUACCAUGGUAAUCGAACUGCCUGCACCAAUAAGAAUGGCAAUUGCGUAUGUAACGAUUCCAUAACUCCCGCCAAAUUCUGUAAUGGCUGCCGAAAGAAUACCAAUGAGGGCUCCGCAAAGCUAUGAAGGAUGAUAAAUAAGAUACCAAUGGUACCGUGGCCAAUGCUUGUUUACCACCAACUGCUGUCUCCUCGAUAUAAAGUGGUAAGUAAACAGUAGCAAGGGUUAUAAAUAAUCUACUAGCAACAUAUAACAUUGCAACUCUUAAUAAAAUUGAUGUACCAAACCAGGAUCUUCUUGGGGUUGAAAAACCAUCUAAAAGCCAACUAGAUUCGUCGGGGUUCGUUUUGGCUUGUGAUUGACUCCUAUUUUCCAAAAGAUUUUCCUUCAGGAGAAUGUGAAAGAGAGUGGUCGCAGUCAAACCGAAUGCCGUUACAACGAUCACAAUAUUCUGCGAAAGGAUUGGUCCAAUGUCUUGGAAAUAUGAUUUUUUUUUUAUAUAUAUAUAUAUAUUUAUGGAAAUGAAAAUUAUUUAAUUGUUCUCUUUUCCUUUAAAUCUUUUUCUUUUCUUUUCUUUUCUUAAUACUAACUCUGAAUUUGUAGUCGUCGUGUUGAUCGAGUAACACCAUCGAUUCUCCAUUUGUUGGAAGGACAAUCCAUGUGACCAUGAAAACAACUACCGCUGAGCUCACCUGCGCUGAAUAUCUAUAAUAUAAAAACGACUUAUGAGUAAGUGAAUAUUAAUAUAAUUUAUUUCAUUCGAUGGAUUUUUUUUUGUUGUUUUUUUUGGUUUUUUUUUUUUUGUUUUACCUUAUAGCUGUUAAUUCGGUACGACCGAGUAACGAGUUUGUUAAAGAUGGUAUCAUAGAUAAAUGCGAUAUCUGUACGGCUGCCCAGCCAAUCUGGAAGAUUAUGAUGCUCAGUAUAUAAAAGAA